This 253-nucleotide ribosomal RNA is filed under the name uncultured bacterium. RNAcentral's name for it is "partial 16S ribosomal RNA". It matches the Rfam family "Bacterial small subunit ribosomal RNA", at positions 524 to 776 of the family's 1533-position model. The record is from RNAcentral.
UACGGAGGGAGCUAGCGUUGUUCGGAAUUACUGGGCGUAAAGCGUACGUAGGCGGUUAUUCAAGUCAGAGGUGAAAGCCUGGAGCUCAACUCCAGAACUGCCUUUGAAACUAGAUAGCUAGAAUCACGGAGAGGUUAGUGGAAUUCCGAGUGUAGAGGUGAAGUUCGUAGAUAUUCGGAAGAACACCAGUGGCGAAGGCGACUAACUGGACGUGUAUUGACGCUGAGGUACGAAAGCGUGGGGAGCAAACAGG